Physeter macrocephalus (sperm whale) is the source of this 892-nucleotide long non-coding RNA. RefSeq lists it as uncharacterized. The record is from RefSeq and is a predicted model, not a curated record. The transcript is spliced from 4 exons. NCBI's taxonomy places the organism in Eukaryota, Metazoa, Chordata, Mammalia, Artiodactyla, Physeteridae.
GGAAUUUUGCCAUAAUAAAGAGCUUGGACGUCGAAUUGAUGAAAGCGUUUCCCUCAGUGUGGACCCUUUAUGAUGGAGGCGUUUGGAAGCUGUGGGAAAUGACAUCCCAGAAUUGAUUUCCAAGUAUAUUACAAAUCUAUUAUGAAAUUACUUUCGUGAAAGGAAAAUAUAAAGCCCCUCUGACAGCACGGGCCGUCUCCCCCCAGGACUCCUGCCAGCCCUUCACCCCAUCCCCUGAGGCACCUCUUCAGAGAGCUUGUCAAUUUCCAAAGAAACAAAAUCCUGCUGAGGUGUUGCAUCACAUCUAUAUAGCAAUUUGGGUAGAACUGACGUCCUCACUAAGAUUAUUGAAGAUUUUCUACAUUGAUGAUCGUGUUCUCUACAAAUACAGGCAUUUUUACUUCUUCUUUUCCAACCUGUAUGCCUUUUUAAAUCAGUAUUGGGCACGUUCCCUCCAACACAGGGAACAAAGCGAGGUCCCUGCUUUUGCCCCCUUCCAGCACGAUGCUGAAGAGCAGUGGUGAGCGCGGACCCUCGCGUUGCUUCCGGUGUUGGAGGGAACGUGCGCAUUGUUCCGCAUCACACGUGCUGUUUGCUGUAGAUUUCUCACAGAUGUCCUAUAUCAGAUUAGGAAGCGGUCACCUAUUCCAAAUUUCCUGAGCGUGUUUGUCAUCCGUGGGUUGUUGAGUUUUUACUGCUCAUCCACCCCUCCCCCUGCCGGAAGUGGCACCAGCAUCUGUUAGUUGAGCUGCACAUCACAGAAAACACAGGCAAAGCUGGAAUGCCUGUCUCUGAGGAAAAUAGAUGACUCACAGCUCAUCCUGGACCUUGAGGGUGUUUGCAUUCUCUGCGGUGCUCUGAACAGUAAGCAUCAGUGCAGCACAAAAGGGUC